RNAcentral lists this transfer RNA (72 nucleotides) under Linepithema humile (Argentine ant). RNAcentral describes it as "tRNA-Gly". The record is from RNAcentral. Lineage: Eukaryota; Metazoa; Arthropoda; Insecta; Hymenoptera; Formicidae.
AUUUAUAUAGUAUAAUAAAUAUUACAAUUAACUUCCAAUUAAUAAAUUUAAUCUAUUAAAUUAAUAUAAAUA